This 815-nucleotide long non-coding RNA is filed under the name Zalophus californianus (California sea lion). RNAcentral describes it as "lncRNA (ENSZCAG00015016862.1)". Lineage: Eukaryota; Metazoa; Chordata; Mammalia; Carnivora; Otariidae. The record is from RNAcentral.
ACCGAUUAUUUUUUUUGUAUUCCUUUUCAAAAUUAUUGCCGAACACUUGGAGAAGAGAGCACCGGUAAUGAUAAGGAAGAAAGAAUGCCUUCUUCACGUUGAGCUGCUCAGAUUUCAUUCUAAUUAUAAGAUAUUGUCAAGUUCAUUCUUGCGGGUUGGGCAGCCUGUCCCAGUCCUUCAUAGAAGAGGACUCAGGGACCUCCAAGCCAGAUUUGUACCCAGGAGAGAACGUCGCCUGCUCUGGGAUCCACUCUCUCCUGAUACUGCAUUUUUGUCUUUCAAGACUCAGAUCAAGUCCUGCUCAUUCCAUGGAGCCUCCUCUGCUUCUCCUGGCUCUAGGAACUUGGGAAGGAAAACAGUUUCAACAAUGAAUAGGUCACCCAUCAUGACUGACUACAGAUGACUUGCCAUUUCAUUUACAAAGGGGUGUCCUACAAAGUAAAAAAAAAAAGAGAGAGAGACCAUCUCAUCCUAUGUCCUGCAUUCAUGCCAGCUAGCCAACCCCUCACUAAGGUGGUUUCUUCAAACACCCUUCAAAGUCGCUCUUGAAGUUUUUUGGAUUUCAAAGCUUCCAAGUCUUAGAGGUAAAAUGACUGACACGGCAUUUGUUAGUCCACAGUUGGUUAAAGAAAAUCCACCUCUUACUGUCAUUAGCACAUACUAAGUUGGAGACACAAACGUACCCUAGUAGAGAAAUGGGCUAGAGCUUCAUAUAGAUAAUUCACCAAAGAGAUGCAAAGAACCAAAGAAACGUGACAAAGAUGUCUGUCCUUACCAUGAAUCAUACAAAUGCAAAAUAAAAUGAUAUUUUUGCC